Molecule: ribosomal RNA, 253 nt
Filed under: uncultured bacterium
Lineage: Bacteria
Description: partial 16S ribosomal RNA
Rfam family: Bacterial small subunit ribosomal RNA
Source: RNAcentral
UACGUAGGGUGCAAGCGUUGUCCGGAAUUAUUGGGCGUAAAGAGCUCGUAGGCGGUUUGUCACGUCGGCUGUGAAAACCCGAGGCUCAACCUCGGGCCUGCAGUCGAUACGGGCAGACUAGAGUAUGGCAGGGGAGACUGGAAUUCCUGGUGUAGCGGUGAAAUGCGUAGAUAUCGAGAGGAACACCUGCGGCGAAGGCGGGUUGCUGGGCUGACACUGACGCUGAUGCGCGAAAGCCAGGGGAGCGAACGGG